Molecule: long non-coding RNA, 221 nt
Organism: Bradysia coprophila
Lineage: Eukaryota; Metazoa; Arthropoda; Insecta; Diptera; Sciaridae
Source: RefSeq, a predicted model, not a curated record
UAAUUUUUUUUUUGAAUGUUGUACUGCUUCGGUGGUGUUCCGAACAUUGAAAUAAUUUUUUAUGCAUGAAGAUCGCAAGUUACUUGACAAUAAAAUUGAAAUUUUGGAAAUAAAUUUUUUGUUUUACGCGCCCUGACGAGAUUUGAACCCCAGACCUCUUGCGUAUGAAGCAAGCGUUCUACGUAUCAAACCACAGGACUGAACAAAAAAUUUUAUUGCCA